UGAGGAAUAUUGGUCAAUGGACGCAAGUCUAAACCAGCCAAGUAGCGUGCAGGAUGACGGCCCUAUGGGUUGUAAACUGCUUUUAUAUGGGGAUAAAGUGGGGAACGUGUUCCCUUUUGCAGGUACCAUAUGAAUAAGGACCGGCUAAUUCCGUGCCAGCAGCCGCGGUAAUACGGAAGGUUCGGGCGUUAUCCGGAUUUAUUGGGUUUAAAGGGAGCGUAGGCCGUUUGGUAAGCGUGUUGUGAAAUGUAGGAGCUCAACUUCUAGAUUGCAGCGCGAACUGUCAGACUUGAGUGCGCACAACGUAGGCGGAAUUCAUGGUGUAGCGGUGAAAUGCUUAGAUAUCAUGAAGAACUCCGAUUGCGAAGGCAGCUUACGGGAGCGCAACUGACGCUGAAGCUCGAAGGUGCGGGUAUCGAACAGG
RNAcentral lists this ribosomal RNA (424 nucleotides) under Verrucomicrobiota bacterium. Its description in RNAcentral is "Verrucomicrobia bacterium partial 16S ribosomal RNA". It matches the Rfam family "Bacterial small subunit ribosomal RNA", at positions 355 to 776 of the family's 1533-position model. The record is from RNAcentral. Lineage: Bacteria; Pseudomonadati; Verrucomicrobiota.